RNAcentral lists this ribosomal RNA (470 nucleotides) under uncultured bacterium. RNAcentral's name for it is "partial 16S ribosomal RNA". It matches the Rfam family "Bacterial small subunit ribosomal RNA", at positions 28 to 507 of the family's 1533-position model. The record is from RNAcentral.
GACGAACGCUGGCGGCGUGCUUAACACAUGCAAGUCGAACGGAGAGGCCGUGCGUUUGCGCGGUGCGGGAGUGGCGAGAGGGUGAGAAAAACGCGAGAGAAAUGCCCUUCGCUUUGGGAUAAAUUCGGGAAAAUGGGGCUAUAACAGGGGAGAAGACCCGGGUGCGCGGCGGGGGUGGGAGGGUAUCACGGCGGUUGGGGAUGCGCUCGCGGCCUAUCAGCUUGUUGGUGGGGUAGUGGCUCACCAAGGCUGCGACGGGUAGCCGGCCUGAGAGGGUGACCGGCCACACUGGGACUGAGAUACGGCCCAGACUCCUACGGGAGGCAGCAGUGGGGAAUAUUGCACAAUGGGCGGAAGCCUGAUGCAGCAACGCCGCGUGAGGGAUGACGGCCUUCGGGUUGUAAACCUCUUUCGCCUGGGACGAAGCGAGAGUGACGGUAAUUGGUAAAGAAGCACCGGCUAACUACGUG